This is a long non-coding RNA of Perca flavescens (yellow perch), 727 nucleotides long. RefSeq lists it as uncharacterized. The transcript has 2 exons. The record is from RefSeq and is a predicted model, not a curated record. NCBI's taxonomy places the organism in Eukaryota, Metazoa, Chordata, Actinopteri, Perciformes, Percidae.
GCUGGAGUCCUUGAUGAGGAAGAAGGGAGUUCAACAGCAGGGUGCAUGUGUGUCUUCAGAAGUGUGCUUCUCCACGCACUACACCAGAUGUCACCUUGCAAGCACACCACGCAGAUGUAUGUGUGUUUGUUUGUUAUCUAUCAGGUAGAUGACAAGAAUGAUAUAAACACUUGAGGAUCAACAUAUCACUAAAACUCCCACCAUCUGCCUGCCAGCAGACAAAUAUAAACACACUCUUCUCUUGCUCUGCCAUUUCUUUAUCUUCCUGCAUUGCUCCACUUUUCUCUCUGUUCUCGCUCUCUGCAGUCCUGCCAUCCAUCAUCAUUAGGAGGCGAAUAGAUGACCUGUCUACACCUGCAACCACUCCGUCCCUUUACUCUCUGGAGAGGAGAGGAGAGGAGAGGAGAGGAGAGGAGAGGAGAGGAGAGGAGAGAGGUUGGGGAAGGUUGACGUUUCGGCCAUUUAGGAAACAGUGAAAUUUGUGUUGUCUAUUUAUUCUACUUCUCUAAAUCAUACACUAUUUAUAUGUGAAGACUAUACCAUCUCCCCUCUCUGUGAUAAUAACCGGUAACGCAAUAUAGCAAUAUACUAUAUUUUCUUGUGAAACAUCAUAGAUAAAUGUCUAAAUAUUACCAUUCUGAUACGUAACUAUGAAUGUGCCUUCUAUUAUAAGCAUUUAUACAACAAUUUCACACUUUGCACCAAUUAAACAGAUUGUUUCACUUUC